Molecule: long non-coding RNA, 2959 nt
Filed under: Equus caballus (horse)
Lineage: Eukaryota; Metazoa; Chordata; Mammalia; Perissodactyla; Equidae
Description: lncRNA (ENSECAG00000048922.1)
Source: RNAcentral
GGGACAGUGGCCAUGGGCUUCCACCCAGCUGGACGGGGCUGCAGCUGGGCCUGCCUGACGGUAAUAAAGAAUGUGGAGAGCUCGCUUGCCCGCCACAGCCCAGCGGCAGGAAACAUCCCGAGAGCACCUGCUUCCUGAGGGCCCUGCAGGGCUCCUGGGCACCAUCUGGGCGCUGCCCCGAGUGCUGUUUGCAUUAGGAGUUUAGAAAAACAAUUCGGCUUUGACUGAUCGCUCUGUAAUUUUCUCAGGCGCAUCCCAGGGUCUCACCCUGCCCCCCUGCCUCUGUCCUUGCCAGCUCUUCUCAGGAGUUCCUAGGCCGACACACACACACCACACUCACACCACACACAAGCCGCUGCAACACACUCACAUGCACACACAUAUACACACAUUCUCACACACACGCACUAUUGCAGCUCACGCACGUGCCCUCGCCUUCUACAGUUCUCAGGGAUACCCUACUCUCUUCUCAGAGGUGGGGCCCUCGCCUCUUUGGGAUCGGCAGGGGAAGGGUCAGCAGUCCUGGGAGCUCAGGGUGGGAGCGGCUGUGGAGCAUGGGGCCUGCAGCCGGACGCCGGGGCUGAAUCCCGGGUCUGCGGCACCUCGCCCGCUAUCUGCGCUUCCGUCGCCUCUGUCGUUGAAGACUGAGGCUGCCGCUGGCCCCUCAGCCCUGCUCAGAACAGCGCCUGGCUCAGAGGAAGCGCGACACGUGUUCAUUGUUAAAAAUUCCAGCAACUCAAGGUGUGCACCUGCCCCCGGGCCUUUGCAAGGGCUGCUCCCUCUUCUGGAAAGCCAAGGCUUGCUUCCUCACGUCCCUUGAGAUUCCACUCAAAUGUCACCUUCUCUGUUUAAAGCCUUCCCCCGCCCCUCCCAGCUCCGUUGCCCACCUUCACGGACUUGGCUUCUGCAGCUGUUCCUCUCUGGAAUGCGUGUGGAAGGCAGGAAGUCCUGCUGCGGGCCCAGGACGCCCGGGACGAGGCCGGGCCUUAGAAGGCGUUUGAUGAACAACUUCGUCUGAGGGGGCGAAGAGCACGUCCCUGAGGGCUUGUUUGAGGCCUGAGGGGGCCCACAGGCGAGCCUGACCGCUCUGACCGGGAGCGAGCGCGCAGUGGGAGAAUUGUUGUCAUCGUUAGUAGUAGUGGUAAUGUUGUGGUUUUGGUGGCUGUUUGUUGGAAGCCCGCGGUAGACCAGCAAACAUUCCCUCUUCUUCUGAUAACCCAUCCCGUUCCCUCUGGGAACCGCCCCCCACACUGUGGGCCCACGGCAAUGGGCUCAGAGAUGGGCAUGAUCCAAAGUCAACCAGAGACAUUCCCCAUUUCCUGAUGGCUGAGCAGAUGCAAUGGCUGGCACUGCUGCAGCUGUCUCUCCACCAGGCGGAGAGUGAAGCAUCAGAGGUGAGCCAGGCUGAAGGACAGAGAGAGGCCUGAGCCAGGCAGCAGUGACGGUGCUCAGACCCCUUCUCAGUCUGGGCCUAAUCCACGUCUGGUCUUUCAGCUGCUUAUGUCAAUAACACUCAUUUCAGUUAAGCCCAUUCAGGUUAGGUCGCUGUCACUUGCCACCAGCAAGGUCCUGCUUGAUCUAGAAUCUGACGUGGAAUCCUCUGGAAGUUUUCUCCUUUCACCCCCAUCCUCCCCCUUCUCUUCCUGCGCCCAAGAAAUGUUUGUUGAAUGAAGGGAUGGAUGAACGACUGGCUAAAUGACCCACUUAGCCUCAGAUGCUAAGAGGAGACAGGUUGCGAGGGCCUGUAUCAGAGGGUCCUUGUGCAUGAGGCUGGCAUAGGGGGAGCCAGCCAGGGGACAAGAGGCCAAAGGCCGUAUGAUGGGGUUGCUGGGGAGUUGUUUCCUUGCUUGGGCCGACUGGCCUGUGCUGUGGACCCUGGACUAGUUCUGCAGCAUGCACGUGUCCCUGUAGCCAUGACCCCGUGCUCGCUUCCUCUCAGGACUCAGCAAAGUUCUCGUUUGGGGCACAGCAGUGGGAGAAGUUUGGCUCCUGGGUGAGCUCGAGUGUUGGAGGUGCGUGGGGUAGACUGCCAGCUGCCCCGAUACCUGCUCUCCUCUCUUUCUGUGGUCCUAGAACUGGCAAUGAGGCACGGGACCACAUCCCUUCACUUAGGCGCAGCCGUGGGGUAGGCUCUGAACCAUCUGUCCUGCUCCAUCCUGCUGCCUGGGAGGCGGGCGCGCGGAUGGGCCAUCCUGGACCACACGGGGACAAUGGAGCAACAAGGCAGAGAGAGCCUGGGUUUCCAACCCCUGGAGCCAUCAUAUCAGCCCCGAAAGGCUGAUGCCCAGACGAGUAGUGAGAGAGAAAUGCACUUCCACAUUGUUUACACUGCUCUUAUUUUCCAUCUCUGUCCUAUAACCUAAGAUAGGGAGGAGGUGCCUCCUGGGCUAGACGUCAUGGGGGCCACUGAAGUCUGAGAAAGGGGCUCCCACAUAGCAGCUGCUUCCCCCCCAUCAGCAGGGUUCUCUACCUGCGGAUCUUUCCAACCUGACAUCGCCAGUUAAAGCCCUCCUCUCUGUCCCCUCCUACUCCAAGUGCCCUCCUGGCUGAAAGCGUGUGCCUUCUGUGGGACGACUCCCUCCCCAGCCCACAGCAGUCGGGGGGGGGGGGGGGCAGGCCCCCAGUGAAACCUGAGUGCCUUCAGUCACUGCCCCUCCAAGUCCACCCACCUUCUCCUCUCUGUCCACGCUCACCCCUCCUGGAGGCCCCCUGAAGAGUGGCCCACCGCCUCCGUCCCUGUUCUGGGCCUGGGAACCCUCCUGCCCUCCCUCCCCUGGUGCCCUGGCAUGUGCCAGGAAGUGCCAAGGAUUCCCCAUCUCUGAAAGGGCGGGCCAGCUGGGCUGUGGAGUGAGGCCCUGGGCUAGCCUGCCAGGGCUCUCCAGGCUGCCCUUCCAGAAACUCCCAGCCCCUUCCUGCCUGGCCUCCUGCCCAAGCCCUUCCUGGAAACUGGGCCCACCCU